AACGCUGGCGGCAGGCCUAACACAUGCAAGUCGAACGGUAACAGGAAGCAGCUUGCUGCUUCGCUGACGAGUGGCGGACGGGUGAGUAAUGUCUGGGAAACUGCCUGAUGGAGGGGGAUAACUACUGGAAACGGUAGCUAAUACCGCAUAACGUCGCAAGACCAAAGAGGGGGACCUUCGGGCCUCUUGCCAUCGGAUGUGCCCAGAUGGGAUUAGCUAGUAGGUGGGGUAACGGCUCACCUAGGCGACGAUCCCUAGCUGGUCUGAGAGGAUGACCAGCCACACUGGAACUGAGACACGGUCCAGACUCCUACGGGAGGCAGCAGUGGGGAAUAUUGCACAAUGGGCGCAAGCCUGAUGCAGCCAUGCCGCGUGUAUGAAGAAGGCCUUCGGGUUGUAAAGUACUUUCAGCGGGGAGGAAGGCGAUAAGGUUAAUAACCU
Molecule: ribosomal RNA, 441 nt
Filed under: Enterobacter sp.
Lineage: Bacteria; Pseudomonadati; Pseudomonadota; Gammaproteobacteria; Enterobacterales; Enterobacteriaceae
Description: bacterial SSU rRNA
Rfam family: Bacterial small subunit ribosomal RNA
Source: RNAcentral